AAUGUUAUAGUUUAAAAAAAAUUUUAAAUUGCAAGUUUAAAGAUAGAAGUUUCUUAACAUUU
RNAcentral lists this transfer RNA (62 nucleotides) under Neoporus sp. NHM-IR594. RNAcentral describes it as "tRNA-Cys". Lineage: Eukaryota; Metazoa; Arthropoda; Insecta; Coleoptera; Dytiscidae. The record is from RNAcentral.